This 72-nucleotide transfer RNA is filed under the name Nymphicus hollandicus (cockatiel). RNAcentral's name for it is "tRNA-Glu". Lineage: Eukaryota; Metazoa; Chordata; Aves; Psittaciformes; Cacatuidae. The record is from RNAcentral.
GUUCUUGUAGUUAAAGCAUACUAACGGUGGUUUUUCAGACCACAGAUCUUGGGUAGAGGCCAAGCAGGAACU